This 460-nucleotide ribosomal RNA is filed under the name uncultured bacterium. RNAcentral describes it as "partial 16S ribosomal RNA". It matches the Rfam family "Bacterial small subunit ribosomal RNA", at positions 338 to 795 of the family's 1533-position model. The record is from RNAcentral.
CCUACGGGCGGCAGCAGUGAGGAAUCUUGGUCAAUGGACGAGAGUCUGAACCAGCCAAGUAGCGUGAAGGAUGACUGCCCUAUGGGUUGUAAACUUCUUUUAUAUGGGAAUAAAAUGUUCAACGUGUGGGUUUUUGUUUGUACCAUAUGAAUAAGGAUCGGCUAACUUCGUGCCAGCAGCCGCGGUAAUACGGAGGAUCCGAGCGUUAUCCGGAUUUAUUGGGUUUAAAGGGAGCGUAGGUGGAUUGUUAAGUCAGUUGUGAAAGUCUGCGGCUCAACCGUAAAAGUGCAGUUGAAACUGGCAGUCUUGAGUACAGUAGAGGUGGGCGGAAUUCGUGGUGUAGCGGUGAAAUGCUUAGAUAUCACGAAGAACUCCGAUUGCGAAGGCAGCUCACUGGACUGCAACUGACACUGAGGCUCGAAAGUGUGGGUAGCAAACAGGAUUAGAUACCCUUGUAGUC